Molecule: ribosomal RNA, 451 nt
Filed under: uncultured bacterium
Lineage: Bacteria
Description: bacterial SSU rRNA
Rfam family: Bacterial small subunit ribosomal RNA
Source: RNAcentral
AACGAACGCUGGCGGCAUGCCUAACACAUGCAAGUCGAACGAGACCUUCGGGUCUAGUGGCGCACGGGUGCGUAACGCGUGGGAAUCUGCCCUUGGGUUCGGAAUAACAACGAGAAAUUGCUGCUAAUACCGGAUGAUGACGUAAGUCCAAAGAUUUAUCGCCCAAGGAUGAGCCCGCGUAGGAUUAGCUAGUUGGUGAGGUAAAGGCUCACCAAGGCGACGAUCCUUAGCUGGUCUGAGAGGAUGAUCAGCCACACUGGGACUGAGACACGGCCCAGACUCCUACGGGAGGCAGCAGUGGGGAAUAUUGGACAAUGGGCGAAAGCCUGAUCCAGCAAUGCCGCGUGAGUGAUGAAGGCCUUAGGGUUGUAAAGCUCUUUUACCCGGGAUGAUAAUGACAGUACCGGGAGAAUAAGACUCCGGCUAACUCCGUGCCAGCAGCCGCGGUAAU